UCCAGGUCAGUGCUCUCUUUGAUAGGUGG
RNAcentral lists this small RNA (29 nucleotides) under Bombyx mori (domestic silkworm). RNAcentral describes it as "ovarian small RNA-26846". Lineage: Eukaryota; Metazoa; Arthropoda; Insecta; Lepidoptera; Bombycidae. The record is from RNAcentral.